CACUUCCACAGGCCUUUCCCUCUGUAGGAAAAAUGAUUUUUGUUUUAUCAAUUGAAUGACUAAAUCUUAACAUGGCAAUUGUCAAGGUUUCUUCACCCUGCCCAAUAUAUAUCUGAAAAGUUGAAGCGAUGGAGCUCCAUGCAAUCACAUGAUGGGCAGACUGAGGAGAUGUUGACUCAAUCAGAAAAUAUUCAAGAAAACAAAAAGGUCAACUGGAACUUAAAGCAGGCAAUUUCUUGAGUGUGAUUGGAAAGUGGCAGCACAGAUGGUUCAAGAAGACAAGUCAUGGAGAGACUACAAAUAGUUCUGAAGUGACACAGGUCAUAACAAGAACAGCUUGUAGAUCCUAUAGAUCUGAAACAGUGACACUCUCCACCAUGACAAGAUGUUAAAGAGGUAGACAUUUAUGACAGAUGGAUUGAAUUAAAAGUUCCGAGGAGAAGCCGACAAUGAUUAAGACAAGGAUGGAUAGGAAACUAGAUGGAAAGACAGACAUUAACACUGGCUCCCAGACAGGCAGUUCCUCGAAAGAAGCAGUCUUGCCUCCAGCAGAACAUCAGACUACGUCACCACUAACGUAUUUGGUCGUCAUGAUUGCUAUAACUGGAUACUGCUACAGAGAAAAGUGUCAGCUUGACAGUUCUUGUACUUUCAAGGAGAUGCCAAAAUGCAACAGUCAUGUAUGGAUGGACGACUGGAUGGAAAGACAGACAAUGGACUGUGCUCAAUAUCAUCUGUUCACAUGGAGGUUACCUGCAAGCCUGCUGGAUGGAUCGGCCAUAACUUGGGUGGAAUGCUACUCUCCCGUGCAGCCAACAAGGGAUACAGAUAUUGAAGCUUGUUUCACCUUGAUAUGCCAAGAGAGAAAUGCCAUAUUGUGAUAGUCAGCUGUUUGUCAAAACGAAGUUAAAUUGAUAACAUUUGUUUGGUAAUGUUUUUAAUGUUAUGUAAGUUUAUGCGCCGACAGGAGAAAAUAUAAUUUUAUCCUUUGCGCAAUGUUUAAUUGGGAUGUAUACUUUUGUGUCAUGUAUGUGUUUUUGAGUACUUAUUGCAUAUUGCAGUGUCUUGCUGAAGUCAUACUUCAAGUAUCCCAAUAUACUGUGUGAAUAAACAGAUGUGCAAUCCA
Molecule: RNA transcript, 1126 nt
Organism: Haliotis rubra (blacklip abalone)
Lineage: Eukaryota; Metazoa; Mollusca; Gastropoda; Lepetellida; Haliotidae
Exons: 7
Source: RefSeq, a predicted model, not a curated record